Molecule: ribosomal RNA, 467 nt
Filed under: uncultured bacterium
Lineage: Bacteria
Description: partial 16S ribosomal RNA
Rfam family: Bacterial small subunit ribosomal RNA
Source: RNAcentral
ACGCACGCUGGCGGCGUGCUUCACACAUGCCAGUCGAACGGAAAGGCCCUGCUUUUGUGGGGUGCUCGCGUGGCGAACGGGUGAGUAACACGUGAGUAACCUGCCCUUGACUUUGGGAUAACUUCAGGAAACUGGGGCUAAUACCGGAUAGGAGCUCCUGCUGCAUGGUGGGGGUUGGAAAGUUUCGGCGGUUGGGGAUGGACUCGCGGCUUAUCAGCUUGUUGGUGGGGUAGUGGCUUACCAAGGCUUUGACGGGUAGCCGGCCUGAGAGGGUGACCGGCCACAUUGGGACUGAGAUACGGCCCAGACUCCUACGGGAGGCAGCAGUGGGGAAUAUUGCACAAUGGGCGGAAGCCUGAUGCAGCAACGCCGCGUGCGGGAUGACGGCCUUCGGGUUGUAAACCGCUUUCGCCUGUGACGAAGCGUGAGUGACGGUAAUGGGUAAAGAAGCACCGGCUAACUACGUG